AUGCUUUAAUACUAUUCCUAGGUAAGACAUUUUGAAGUAUGUGUUUCCCAUAAUUUCUGCUUUUACUGUAAUAAAAACUCAAUUUAAAUAACAUGAUCAUCACAAGGUUAAGAGAAGUGUCAAAGGUGAUUCAAUGAUAUUAUCAAUAGCAAGUUUUUUCUAAAUAAUUUACAAUUUUUUUAGACAAUUCCAUGAGAAAGAUAUAGUAAAGUUUUAAUAAAGCCACAAAGCGUGUAAUCCGCUUUAUAUAUCAAUAUAGAUAAUCUGAAC
RNAcentral lists this long non-coding RNA (270 nucleotides) under Phaseolus vulgaris (common bean). RNAcentral's name for it is "long non-coding RNA (PVUL_LNC003500)". The record is from RNAcentral. Lineage: Eukaryota; Viridiplantae; Streptophyta; Magnoliopsida; Fabales; Fabaceae.